ACAGCAGCAGCCGCGGUAAUACAGAGGGUGCGAGCGUUAAUCGGAUUUACUGGGCGUAAAGCGUGCGUAGGCGGCUAAUUGAGUCGGAUGUGAAAUCCCCGAGCUUAACUUGGGAAUUGCAUUCGAUACUGGUUAGCUAGAGUGUGGGAGAGGAUGGUAGAAUUCCAGGUGUAGCGGUGAAAUGCGUAGAGAUCUGGAGGAAUACCGAUGGCGAAGGCAGCCAUCUGGCCUAACACUGACGCUGAGGUACGAAAGCAUGGGGAGCAAACAGGAUUAGAGACCCGAGUAGUCCCUGUCUCUUAUAC
Molecule: ribosomal RNA, 305 nt
Filed under: uncultured bacterium
Lineage: Bacteria
Description: partial 16S ribosomal RNA
Rfam family: Bacterial small subunit ribosomal RNA
Source: RNAcentral